This 207-nucleotide ribosomal RNA is filed under the name uncultured bacterium. RNAcentral's name for it is "partial 16S ribosomal RNA". It matches the Rfam family "Bacterial small subunit ribosomal RNA", at positions 568 to 774 of the family's 1533-position model. The record is from RNAcentral.
CGCGUAGGCGGUUAAUUAAGUCAGAUGUGAAACCUUAGGGCUCAACCUUAAGUAUGCAUCUGAUACUGGUUAACUUGAGUGUGAGAGAGGAAAGUGGAAUUCCUAGUGUAGCGGUGAAAUGCGUAGAUAUUAGGAGGAACACCAGUGGCGAAGGCGACUUUCUGGCUCAUUACUGACGCUGAGGCGCGAAAGCGUGGGGAGCAAACA